CAGGGGACAAUGCAGACAGAUAAUGUGGCCAUUAGCCAACCACCUCCGGCACAUAUUCCAGAUAUGGGGCCAAUGUCUGAAGGCAGUGGAAUAGUUGAUCAGCCACAACAGACAUCAACCACCAGCUCCAUACAUUCUGAAGAUCAUGUACAAGCAGAGAUGCCCACCA
Pseudophryne corroboree (corroboree frog) is the source of this 169-nucleotide long non-coding RNA. RefSeq lists it as uncharacterized. Lineage: Eukaryota; Metazoa; Chordata; Amphibia; Anura; Myobatrachidae. The record is from RefSeq and is a predicted model, not a curated record. The transcript is spliced from 3 exons.